This 69-nucleotide ribosomal RNA is filed under the name Arthrobacter sp. yr096. RNAcentral's name for it is "16S rRNA. Bacterial SSU". It matches the Rfam family "Bacterial small subunit ribosomal RNA", at positions 1 to 67 of the family's 1533-position model. The record is from RNAcentral. Lineage: Bacteria; Bacillati; Actinomycetota; Actinomycetes; Micrococcales; Micrococcaceae.
CUUCAACGGAGAGUUUGAUCCUGGCUCAGGAUGAACGCUGGCGGCGUGCUUAACACAUGCAAGUCGAAC